This 517-nucleotide ribosomal RNA is filed under the name uncultured bacterium. RNAcentral's name for it is "partial 16S ribosomal RNA". It matches the Rfam family "Bacterial small subunit ribosomal RNA", at positions 28 to 523 of the family's 1533-position model. The record is from RNAcentral.
GACGAACGCUGGCGGCGUGCCUAAUACAUGCAAGUCGAGCGGACCGGAUUGGGGCUUGCCUUGGUUCGGUCAGCGGCGGACGGGUGAGUAACACGUGGGCAACCUGCCCGCAAGACCGGGAUAACUCCGGGAAACCGGAGCUAAUACCGGAUAACACCGAAGACCGCAUGGUCUUCGGUUGAAAGGCGGCCUUUGGGCUGUCACUUGCGGAUGGGCCCGCGGCGCAUUAGCUAGUUGGUGAGGUAGCGGCUCACCAAGGCGAAGAUGCGUAGCAGGCCUGCGAGGGUGACCGGCCAGACUGGGACUGGGACACGGCCAAGACUCCUACGGGAGGCAGCAGUAGGGAAUCUUCCGCAAUAGGCGAAAGCCUGACGGAGCGACGCCGCGUGAGCGAAGAAGGCCUUCGGGUCGUAAAGCUCUGUUGUGAGGGACGAAGGAGCGCCGUUCGAAGAGGGCGGCGCGGUGACGGUACUUCACGAGAAAGCCCCGGCUAACUACGUGCCAGCCGCCGCCGUAA